UGUAUGCUGCUAAAGAAGUGUUGGUCCUUUAUUAGGCCAGAACCUGGUGGUCCGGAGUCGAUGAUGAGAGAGUGAAAGAAGGAAAGAGGCUAAUAUUCCCUGGGUUACGCAGCCGGCUUUCGCGCUCCAGGGAAUUAGCCAGAAAUAG
This is a long non-coding RNA of Cervus elaphus (red deer), 148 nucleotides long. RefSeq lists it as uncharacterized. NCBI's taxonomy places the organism in Eukaryota, Metazoa, Chordata, Mammalia, Artiodactyla, Cervidae. The record is from RefSeq and is a predicted model, not a curated record. The transcript has 3 exons.